GUCUGGGAUGAGAACACGGGAUGUUAUUAUUAUUGGAAUACACAAACAAAUGAAGUGACUUGGGAGUUACCCCAAUAUCUUGCCACACAGGUACAGGGAUUACAGCAUUACCAGCCCAUUCUGUGCCAGGUGCUGAAACUAGUUUUGUGGUAAAUACAGACAUAUAUUCUAAGGAGAAAACGAUUUCUGUUUCCAGUAGUAAAAGUGGACCAGUCAUAGCCAAGCGAGAAGUUAAAAAGGUCAGUGUCGAAACUUACCU
This 259-nucleotide long non-coding RNA is filed under the name Homo sapiens (human). RNAcentral's name for it is "non-protein coding lnc-NUP160-2:1". The record is from RNAcentral. Lineage: Eukaryota; Metazoa; Chordata; Mammalia; Primates; Hominidae.